RNAcentral lists this ribosomal RNA (253 nucleotides) under uncultured bacterium. RNAcentral's name for it is "partial 16S ribosomal RNA". It matches the Rfam family "Bacterial small subunit ribosomal RNA", at positions 524 to 776 of the family's 1533-position model. The record is from RNAcentral.
UACGUAGGGGGCAAGCGUUGUCCGGAAUCAUUGGGCGUAAAGAGCGUGUAGGCGGCUUGAUAAGUCGGUUGUGAAAGUCAAGGGCUCAACCCUUGAAUGCCGGCCGAUACUGUCAGGCUAGAGUCCGGAAGAGGCGAGUGGAAUUCCUGGUGUAGCGGUGAAAUGCGCAGAUAUCGGGAGGAACACCAGUAGCGAAGGCGGCUCGCUGGGCCACACCUGACGCUGAGACGCGAAAGCUAGGGGAGCGAACAGG